Molecule: ribosomal RNA, 1308 nt
Filed under: metagenome
Description: bacterial SSU rRNA
Rfam family: Bacterial small subunit ribosomal RNA
Source: RNAcentral
AAAUACCUCAUCGAAAGAUGAGCUAAUACCGUAUAACACCGCAAGGUAAAAGCGCUUAACUGCGCGCCGAUUGAUGAGCCUAUCUUCCAUCAGGCUGUUGGUGGGGUAAUGGCCUACCAAACCUAUGACGGAUACCCGCCCUGAGAGGGGAAUCGGGCAGAAUGGGACUGAGACACGGCCCAUACACCUACGGGUGGCAGCAACAGGGAAUUGUGCGCAAUGGACGAAAGUCUGACGCCGCAAUGCCGCGUGAGGGAUGAAGGCCUUCGGGUCGUAAACCUCUUUUGCCAAGUCUGAGAGGGCUUGGAGAAUAAGUGACUGCUAACUCUGUGCCAGCAGCAGCGGUAAUACAGAGGUCACAAGCGUUAUCCGGAUUUAUUGGGCGUAAAGCGUUUCGUAGGCGGAUUUGUAAGUUAUUUUUCAAAGACCACGGCUCAACCGGGGGAAGGGAGGUAAUACUGCAGGUCUUGAUUUUUGGUGGGGUAUCUGGAACUGAUAGUGUAGUAGUGAAAUACGUUGAUAUUAUCAGGAACUCCAAGGGCGAAGGCAGGAUACUAACCAAGUAAUGACGCUGAGGAACGACAGCUAGGGGAGCGAAAGGGAUUAGAGACCCCUGUAGUCCUAGCCGUAAACUUUGCUCGCUAGGGAUAGGGCCCUUAAAAGCUUUGUCCCGCAAGCUAACGCGUUAAGCGAGCCGCCUGGGGAGUACGACCGCAAGGUUAAAACUCAAAGGAAUUGACGGGGACCCGCACAACCAGUGGAGCAUGUGGUUUAAUUCGAGACGAAACGAAGAACCUUACCCAGCCUUGACAUUGUACCGUUUUAGUCCUGCAGAAACGUGGGAUGAUCAAAAUUUAUUUUGAUGGUAUAACAGGUGUUGCAUGGCUGUCGUCAGCUCGUGCCGUAGGGUGUUCCCUUCAGUGGGGUAACGAGCGCAACCCUUGCCCUGAGUUAAAUAUUCUCGGGGGACUAUUUGAAUUUAUUUCAAGUGGAAGUGAGGACGACGUCAAGUCAGCAUGGCCCUUAUGGCUGGGGCUACACACAUGCUACAAUGAAGCCGACAAAGGGUUUGCCAAGCCGCAAGGCGGAGCUAAUCCCAUCAAACGGCUUCUCAGUGGGGAUUGAAGGCUGAAAUUCGCCUUCAUGAACGUGGAAUUGGUAGUAAUCGCAGGUCAGCUAUACUGCGGUGAAUACGUUCUCGGGUCUUGUACACACCGCCCGUCAAGUCAACAAAGUUAGGGGCACCUUAAAUCCAGCUGUGCUGGAUCAAGGCGACACUAGCGAUGGGGACUAAGUCGUAACAAGGUA